GAUUGAAAAAUGCAGACUACCAAGGCACUGCUCAUUUCUCCAGUUCUGAUCCACUCCUGUACCAGGGGUCUAAUCAGGCUUGUGUCUGCCUCCCUCCUGAGUAGACCAGAGGCUCCAUCUAAAAAGCCUUCCUGCUGUAGCUCCCUCUCCAGGUGGUCAGAUGGGAAUUCCAGACCAGUGUUAUUUCCAGGGGACAUUGACACAGCAGCCAAGUUUAUUGGUGUUGGGGCCGCCACAGUUGGUGUGGCUGGGCCAGGGGCUGGCAUUGGCACACUGUUUGGUAGCUUGACUAUUGGUUAUGCCAGGAACCCGUCUCUAAAGCAGCAACUCUUCUCCAAUGCCAUCCUGGGCUUUGCCCUGUCUGAGGCCACAGGAUUCUUCUGUUUGAUGGUCGCCUUCCUCAUCCUCUCCGCCAUGUGAGGCUCCCUAGGGUCACCUGGCCGUCCCUGCUGCUUUGACGCCAUGCCAGUCCUCCUGGUGCUGGAGUGUGCUGAGCUUUACCAUUAAACAACAACC
Molecule: long non-coding RNA, 516 nt
Filed under: Rattus norvegicus (Norway rat)
Lineage: Eukaryota; Metazoa; Chordata; Mammalia; Rodentia; Muridae
Description: long non-coding RNA NONRATT007628
Source: RNAcentral